This 2928-nucleotide ribosomal RNA is filed under the name Brevibacillus choshinensis. RNAcentral's name for it is "23S ribosomal RNA". It matches the Rfam family "Bacterial large subunit ribosomal RNA". The record is from RNAcentral. Lineage: Bacteria; Bacillati; Bacillota; Bacilli; Caryophanales; Paenibacillaceae.
GGUUAAGUUACUAAGGGCACACGGUGGAUGCCUUGGCGCUAGGAGCCGAAGAAGGACGCAGCGAACUGCGAUAAGCCUCGGGGAGCGGUAAGCACGCUUUGAUCCGGGGAUCUCCGAAUGGGGCAACCCACCAUCCGUAAUGGGAUGGUAUCCGUAUCUGAAUACAUAGGGUACGAGAAGGCAGACCCGGUGAACUGAAACAUCUAAGUAGCCGGAGGAAGAGAAAACAAUAGUGAUUCCGUCAGUAGUGGCGAGCGAACGCGGAAGAGCCUAAACCGUCGGGUUUACCCGGCGGGGUUGUGGGACGUCUCACUAGGAGUUACAAAAGACUCUUGUAGAUGAACAGCUUGGGAAAGCUGACCAGAGAGCGUGACAGUCGCGUAAUCUAAACAAGAGUCUCUCCGAGACGGAUCCCGAGUAGCGCGGGACACGUGAAAUCCCGUGUGAAUCUGGCAGGACCAUCUGCUAAGGCUAAAUACUACCUAGCGACCGAUAGUGAACCAGUACCGUGAGGGAAAGGUGAAAAGCACCCCGGGAGGGGAGUGAAAUAGUACCUGAAACCGUGUGCUUACAAAUAGUCGGAGCCCGUUAAAAGGGUGACGGCGUGCCUUUUGUAGAAUGAACCGGCGAGUUACGGUAGCGUGCGAGGUUAAGUUGAAGAGACGGAGCCGCAGCGAAAGCGAGUCUGAAUAGGGCGAUAGUACGCUGCCGUAGACCCGAAACCGUGUGAUCUAGCCAUGUCCAGGGUGAAGUUAGGGUAACACCUACUGGAGGCCCGAACCCACGCACGUUGAAAAGUGCGGGGAUGAGGUGUGGCUAGCGGUGAAAUUCCAAUCGAACUCGGAGAUAGCUGGUUCUCCCCGAAAUAGCUUUAGGGCUAGCCUCGGAAUUUAGAGUCUUGGAGGUAGAGCACUGAUUGGGCUAGGGGCCCUCAUCGGGUUACCGAACUCAGUCAAACUCCGAAUGCCAAUGACUUAUGUCCGGGAGUCAGACGGUGAGUGCUAAGAUCCAUCGUCAAAAGGGAAACAGCCCAGACCAUCAGCUAAGGUCCCCAAGUAUACGUUAAGUGGGAAACGAUGUGGAGUUGCCCAGACAACCAGGAUGUUGGCUUAGAAGCAGCCACCAUUUAAAGAGUGCGUAAUAGCUCACUGGUCGAGUGACUCUGCGCGGAAAAUGUAACGGGGCUAAACGUAUCACCGAAGCUAUGGCAGUCCUUACGGACUGGGUAGGGGAGCGUUCCAAGCAGCAGUGAAGCCGUACUGGAAAGAGCGGUGGAGCGCUUGGAAGUGAGAAUGCCGGUGUAAGUAGCGAAAAGACAAGUGAGAAUCUUGUCCACCGAAAGCCUAAGGGUUCCUGGGGAAGGCUCGUCCUCCCAGGGUUAGUCGGGACCUAAGCUGAGGCCGAAAGGCGUAGGCGAUGGACAACAGGUUGAUAUUCCUGUACCACCUCUGUUCCGCUUGAGCAAUGGCGUGACGCAGGAGGAUAGGGUGAGCGGCCUACUGGAUGGCCGUCCAAGCAGCAAGCCUGGUGUGUAGGCAAAUCCGCACACCGUAAGGGCAAGCUGUGAUGGCGAGGGAAAUUUAAGUACCGAAGUCCCUGAUUUCACACUGCCAAGAAAAGCGUCUAGCGAGGAAUAAGGUGCCCGUACCGCAAACCGACACAGGUAGGCGAGGAGAGAAUCCUAAGGUGCGCGGGAUAACUCUUGCUAAGGAACUCGGCAAAAUGGCCCCGUAACUUCGGGAGAAGGGGCGCCCCGGUAGGGUUUAUAGCCCGAGGGGGCCGCAGUGAAAAGGCCCAAGCGACUGUUUAGCAAAAACACAGGUCUCUGCGAAGCCGCAAGGCGAAGUAUAGGGGCUGACGCCUGCCCGGUGCUGGAAGGUUAAGGGGAUGGGUUAGCGCAAGCGAAGCUUUGAACCGAAGCCCCAGUAAACGGCGGCCGUAACUAUAACGGUCCUAAGGUAGCGAAAUUCCUUGUCGGGUAAGUUCCGACCCGCACGAAAGGCGUAACGACUUGGGCGCUGUCUCGGCAAGAGACCCGGUGAAAUCAUAAUACCUGUGAAGAUGCAGGUUACCCGCGACAAGACGGAAAGACCCCAUGGAGCUUUACUGUAGCCUGGUAUUGGAACUUUGUGCAUCAUGUACAGGAUAGGUGGGAAGCUGAGAAGCAGGGGCGCCAGCCUCUGUGGAGCUGUCGGUGGGAUACCACCCUUGAUGUACGGAGUUUCUAACUCGUCGCCCUUAUCGGGCGAGAGGACCAUGCCAGGUGGGCAGUUUGACUGGGGCGGUCGCCUCCCAAAAGGUAACGGAGGCGCCCAAAGGUUCCCUCAGAAUGGUCGGAAAUCAUUCGUAGAGUGUAAAGGCAGAAGGGAGCUUGACUGCGAGACCUACAAGUCGAGCAGGGACGAAAGUCGGGCUUAGUGAUCCGGUGGUUCCGCAUGGAAGGGCCAUCGCUCAACGGAUAAAAGCUACCCUGGGGAUAACAGGCUUAUCUCCCCCAAGAGUCCACAUCGACGGGGAGGUUUGGCACCUCGAUGUCGGCUCAUCGCAUCCUGGGGCUGAAGUAGGUCCCAAGGGUUGGGCUGUUCGCCCAUUAAAGCGGUACGCGAGCUGGGUUCAGAACGUCGUGAGACAGUUCGGUCCCUAUCUGUCGCGGGCGUAGGAAGUUUGAGGAGAGCUGUCCUUAGUACGAGAGGACCGGGAUGGACGCACCGCUGGUGCACCAGUUGUCACGCCAGUGGCACAGCUGGGUAGCUAUGUGCGGACGGGAUAAGCGCUGAAAGCAUCUAAGCGUGAAGCCCCCUCCAAGAUGAGACUUCCCACAGCGCAAGCUGGUAAGACCCCUCAUAGACGAUGAGGUUGAUAGGUUCGGUGUGGAAGCGUGGUAACACGUGGAGCUGACGAAUACUAAUCGGUCGAGGACUUAUCCAC